AUGUUAGACGAAUCAUCUGGAAAGAUGAAUCAAAGAAGGUAAUAAUCCUGUAGUCGAAAACAUAUUCUCUCUUGAGUGGAUCCUGAGUACGACGGAGCACGUGAAAUUCCGUCGGAAUCUAGGAGGACCAUCUCCUAAGGCUAAAUACUCUCUAGUGACCGAUAGUGAACCAGUACCGUGAGGGAAAGGUGAAAAGUACCCCGGAAGGGGAGUGAAAGAGAACUUGAAACCGUGUGCUUACAAGUAGUCAGAGCCCGUUUAUGGGUGAUGGCGUGCCUUUUGUAGAAUGAACCGGCGAGUUACGAUCUGAUGCAAGGUUAAGCAGCGAAUGUGGAGCCGUAGCGAAAGCGAGUCUGAAUAGGGCGUUGAGUAUUUGGUCGUAGACCCGAAACCAGGUGAUCUACCCUUGGUCAGGUUGAAGUUCAGGUAACACUGAAUGGAGGACCGAACCGACUUACGUUGAAAAGUGAGCGGAUGAACUGAGGGUAGCGGAGAAAUUCCAAUCGAACUUGGAGAUAGCUGGUUCUCUCCGAAAUAGCUUUAGGGCUAGCCUCAAGUGAUGAUUAUUGGAGGUAGAGCACUGUUUGGACGAGGGGCCCCUCUCGGGUUACCGAAUUCAGACAAACUCCGAAUGCCAAUCAAUUUAACUUGGGAGUCAGAACAUGGGUGAUAAGGUCCGUGUUCGAAAGGGAAACAGCCCAGACCACCAGCUAAGGUCCCAAAAUAUAUGUUAAGUGGAAAAGGAUGUGGCGUUGCCCAGACAACUAGGAUGUUGGCUUAGAAGCAGCCAUCAUUUAAAGAGUGCGUAAUAGCUCACUAGUCGAGUGACACUGCGCCGAAAAUGUACCGGGGCUAAACAUAUUACCGAAGCUGUGGAUUGUCCUUCGGACAAUGGUAGGAGAGCGUUCUAAGGGCGUUGAAGCAUGAUCGCAAGGACAUGUGGAGCGCUUAGAAGUGAGAAUGCCGGUGUGAGUAGCGAAAGACGGGUGAGAAUCCCGUCCACCGAUUGACUAAGGUUUCCAGAGGAAGGCUCGUCCGCUCUGGGUUAGUCGGGUCCUAAGCUGAGGCCGACAGGCGUAGGCGAUGGAUAACAGGUUGAUAUUCCUGUACCACCUAGUAUCGUUUUAAUCGAUGGGGGGACGCAGUAGGAUAGGCGAAGCGUGCUGUUGGAGUGCACGUCCAAGUAGUAAGGCUGAGUGUUAGGCAAAUCCGGCACUCGUUAGGCUGAGCUGUGAUGGGGAGAGGAAAUUGUUUCCUCGAGUCGUUGAUUUCACACUGCCGAGAAAAGCCUCUAGAUAGAUAACAGGUGCCCGUACCGCAAACCGACACAGGUAGUCAAGAUGAGAAUUCUAAGGUGAGCGAGCGAACUCUCGUUAAGGAACUCGGCAAAAUGACCCCGUAACUUCGGGAGAAGGGGUGCUCUUUAGGGUUCACGCCCAGAAGAGCCGCAGUGAAUAGGCCCAAGCGACUGUUUAUCAAAAACACAGGUCUCUGCUAAACCGUAAGGUGAUGUAUAGGGGCUGACGCCUGCCCGGUGCUGGAAGGUUAAGAGGAGUGGUUAGCUUCUGCGAAGCCACGAAUCGAAGCCCC
This 1590-nucleotide ribosomal RNA is filed under the name Escherichia coli. RNAcentral's name for it is "partial 23S ribosomal RNA". It matches the Rfam family "Bacterial large subunit ribosomal RNA", at positions 326 to 1921 of the family's 2925-position model. The record is from RNAcentral. Lineage: Bacteria; Pseudomonadati; Pseudomonadota; Gammaproteobacteria; Enterobacterales; Enterobacteriaceae.